GACCCACCUAGGCGCCCCAAUGUGUUGGCGUUUUCAAAUCAAGACAGCAAUUGCUACGAAUAAGCCAGCAUGCGGUGGAGAUAAAGUUGCAAACCAUCCUCAACUGCCAUGGAUCUCUAAGGAGCAGCUGACAACAUUAUGUAUUAAACAUUUAUUAUGGGUUAAAUUGAGUGCUUAACAUGCUUAACCAUCCCCUGCACUGCUUGUAACAACUCUAGGGAGAAGAUACUAUGGCUAUUCCCAUUUUAUAGGUGAGAAAACCAAAUCAUAGAGAGUAAUCUGGCCAAGGUCGCAUGGUGAGUGGAGAAGCCAAGAAUCAAACAAGCCCUCUUGGGCUAUCACCACCACUCUAUACCUCCUCCUCAUAAUUGGUAUCUAUUGUCUUUACAAAGAGCUAUUUUCCAGAAUUGUCAGGUUCAAAGUCCCAUGAAGUCGCCAGUAGAGGAGGUGUGCGAAUAGCUGUGUACCAAGAGCCCUCUGAUACUAGAUAAGGCUCUGUGUGGAGCCAUCUCUCUGGCACCCCUGCCUCACCCAGAUCCCACUGCAUGCUCAGGACAACGCCGUGGUGAAUUUGAAAGCUGUCCCAUCAACAAGACCUUGACUUGAGAGGUAGGAUGGCUGGGGCCUCUCCUCAGGACAGCCCUGGAAGCAGCAACGUUCAUUCACAGUGUAGAUGUAUUCAGCAGCAGGCCUGAAACAGAGACGUCGUAAAUCCCAUCAAAAUCUCCCCCAUUAUGUGACACACUUUGUUAGAACAGAAUAAGGGGUUCGGCUCUGUUGGACCAAAUCAAGUUGGUCUAUGUGGAGUAUCACAUUUUAGAUUCAAAUCCCUGUUAAACCCUCUGCUUAGGCUCGUGGUUAACAAUAUUUUUAUAUCUGUCUGCAGAGAUGACAGGCAGCCCGGCUCUCGAGCAGGCCCAGCGGCCUCUGCGUGGCUGCUUUUAGAGGCAGGCUCCAUAGAUGAAAGGCAGAAAUCCCACCACCCCAGUGUCUCCUGAUUAGCCCGGAGAAAAGCUGAAUGACAAACAUGUUUCCAAUCUGCCUGGCCCAUGCAGGGAAAUGGGGCAAUCUGGACUGAAAAGGGAUUUAGACUUUUGUUGUGUGCAAGGGAGGGGGGACGGAGAAAAAAGCUGAUUGAAAUCCAUCCACAAUGCUUUCCCACUUGGUGAUCUCUCAGA
This 1178-nucleotide long non-coding RNA is filed under the name Felis catus (domestic cat). RNAcentral describes it as "lncRNA (ENSFCAG00000053784.1)". Lineage: Eukaryota; Metazoa; Chordata; Mammalia; Carnivora; Felidae. The record is from RNAcentral.